This 1595-nucleotide ribosomal RNA is filed under the name Cronobacter dublinensis. RNAcentral's name for it is "bacterial LSU rRNA". It matches the Rfam family "Bacterial large subunit ribosomal RNA", at positions 657 to 2234 of the family's 2925-position model. The record is from RNAcentral. Lineage: Bacteria; Pseudomonadati; Pseudomonadota; Gammaproteobacteria; Enterobacterales; Enterobacteriaceae.
AUAGGGGAGCCGAAGGGAAACCGAGUCUUAAUUGGGCGUUAAGUUGCAGGGUAUAGACCCGAAACCCGGUGAUCUAGCCAUGGGCAGGUUGAAGGUUGGGUAACACUAACUGGAGGACCGAACCGACUAAUGUUGAAAAAUUAGCGGAUGACCUGUGGCUGGGGGUGAAAGGCCAAUCAAACCGGGAGAUAGCUGGUUCUCCCCGAAAGCUAUUUAGGUAGCGCCUCGUGAACUCAUCUUCGGGGGUAGAGCACUGUUUCGGCUAGGGGGCCAUCCCGGCUUACCAACCCGAUGCAAACUACGAAUACCGAAGAAUGUUAUCACGGGAGACACACGGCGGGUGCUAACGUCCGUCGUGAAGAGGGAAACAACCCAGACCGCCAGCUAAGGUCCCAAAGUCAUGGUUAAGUGGGAAACGAUGUGGGAAGGCACAGACAGCCAGGAUGUUGGCUUAGAAGCAGCCAUCAUUUAAAGAAAGCGUAAUAGCUCACUGGUCGAGUCGGCCUGCGCGGAAGAUGUAACGGGGCUAAACCAUGCACCGAAGCUGCGGCAGCGACACUAUGUGUUGUUGGGUAGGGGAGCGUUCUGUAAGCCUGCGAAGGUGUGCUGUGAGGCAUGCUGGAGGUAUCAGAAGUGCGAAUGCUGACAUAAGUAACGAUAAAGCGGGUGAAAAGCCCGCUCGCCGGAAGACCAAGGGUUCCUGUCCAACGUUAAUCGGGGCAGGGUGAGUCGACCCCUAAGGCGAGGCCGAAAGGCGUAGUCGAUGGGAAACAGGUUAAUAUUCCUGUACUUGGUGUUACUGCGAAGGGGGGACGGAGAAGGCUAUGUUGGCCGGGCGACGGUUGUCCCGGUUUAAGCGUGUAGGUGUGUGUUCCAGGUAAAUCCGGUUCACUUUAACACUGAGGCGUGAUGACGAGGCACUACGGUGCUGAAGUAACAAAUGCCCUGCUUCCAGGAAAAGCCUCUAAGCAUCAGGUAACACGAAAUCGUACCCCAAACCGACACAGGUGGUCAGGUAGAGAAUACCAAGGCGCUUGAGAGAACUCGGGUGAAGGAACUAGGCAAAAUGGUGCCGUAACUUCGGGAGAAGGCACGCUGACAUGUAGGUGAAGCCCCUGCGGGGGGAGCUGAAGUCAGUCGAAGAUACCAGCUGGCUGCAACUGUUUAUUAAAAACACAGCACUGUGCAAACACGAAAGUGGACGUAUACGGUGUGACGCCUGCCCGGUGCCGGAAGGUUAAUUGAUGGGGUUAUCGCAAGAGAAGCUCCUGAUCGAAGCCCCGGUAAACGGCGGCCGUAACUAUAACGGUCCUAAGGUAGCGAAAUUCCUUGUCGGGUAAGUUCCGACCUGCACGAAUGGCGUAAUGAUGGCCAGGCUGUCUCCACCCGAGACUCAGUGAAAUUGAACUCGCUGUGAAGAUGCAGUGUACCCGCGGCAAGACGGAAAGACCCCGUGAACCUUUACUACAGCUUGACACUGAACAUUGAGCCUUGAUGUGUAGGAUAGGUGGGAGGCUUUGAAGCGUGGACGCCAGUCUGCGUGGAGCCAACCUUGAAAUACCACCCUUUAAUGUUUGAUGUUCUAACCUGGCGCC